This 346-nucleotide unclassified non-coding RNA is filed under the name soil metagenome. RNAcentral describes it as "partial contains 5.8S ribosomal RNA, internal transcribed spacer 2, and large subunit ribosomal RNA". The stretch from base 1 to 121 matches the Rfam family "5.8S ribosomal RNA", at positions 35 to 154 of the family's 154-position model. The record is from RNAcentral.
GAUGAAGAACGUAGCGAAAUGCGAUAAGUAAUGCGAAUUGCAGAAUUUCCGUGAGUCAUCGAAUCUUUGAACGCACAUUGCGCCCGCCAGUAUUCUGGCGGGCAUGCCUGUCCGAGCGUCAUUUCAACCCUCAAGCCCCCGGGCUUGGUGUUGGAGAUCGGCGAGCCCCCCGGGGCGCGCCGUCUCCCAAAUAUAGUGGCGGUCCCGCUGUAGCUUCCUCUGCGUAGUAGCACACCUCGCACUGGGAAACAGCGUGGCCACGCCGUAAAACCCCCCACUUCUGAAAGGUUGACCUCGGAUCAGGUAGGAAUACCCGCUGAACUUAAGCAUAUCAAUAAGCGGAGGA